CCUACGGGAGGCAGCAGUGGGGAAUUUUGGACAAUGGGCGAAAGCCUGAUCCAGCCAUGCCGCGUGAGUGAAGAAGGCCUUCGGGUUGUAAAGCUCUUUCAGCCGGAAAGAAAUCGCGCAGGAUAAUACUCUGCGUGGAUGACGGUACCGGCAGAAGAAGCACCGGCUAACUACGUGCCAGCAGCCGCGGUAAUACGUAGGGUGCGAGCGUUAAUCGGAAUUACUGGGCGUAAAGCGUGCGCAGGCGGUUAUGUAAGACAGAUGUGAAAUCCCCGGGCUCAACCUGGGAACUGCGUUUGUGACUGCAUAACUAGAGUACGGCAGAGGGAGGUGGAAUUCCGCGUGUAGCAGUGAAAUGCGUAGAGAUGCGGAGGAACACCGAUGGCGAAGGCAGCCUCCUGGGCCAGUACUGACGCUCAUGCACGAAAGCGUGGGGAGCAAACAGGAUUAGAUACCCUGGUAGUCCACGCCCUAAACGAUGUCAACUAGUUGUUCGGUGAGGAGACUCAUUGAGUAACGCAGCUAACGCGUGAAGUUGACCGCCUGGGGAGUACGGCCGCAAGGUUAAAACUCAAAGGAAUUGACGG
This 587-nucleotide ribosomal RNA is filed under the name uncultured bacterium. RNAcentral describes it as "bacterial SSU rRNA". It matches the Rfam family "Bacterial small subunit ribosomal RNA", at positions 338 to 916 of the family's 1533-position model. The record is from RNAcentral.